This 86-nucleotide transfer RNA is filed under the name Candidatus Nomurabacteria bacterium. RNAcentral describes it as "tRNA-Leu". It matches the Rfam family "tRNA". From Rfam's summary of the family: Transfer RNA (tRNA) molecules are approximately 80 nucleotides in length. Their secondary structure includes four short double-helical elements and three loops (D, anti-codon, and T loops). The record is from RNAcentral. Lineage: Bacteria; Candidatus Nomuraibacteriota. RNAcentral also lists the same sequence under 1 other name.
GCUGGGGUGGUGGAACUGGCAGACACGCAUGGUUUAGGCCCAUGUGGGAGUUAUAUCCUGUGGAGGUUCGAGUCCUCUCCCCAGCA